RNAcentral lists this non-coding RNA (30 nucleotides) under Rattus norvegicus (Norway rat). Lineage: Eukaryota; Metazoa; Chordata; Mammalia; Rodentia; Muridae. The record is from RNAcentral.
UAGCACUUUAGAGGAAGUUCUGGCCUGGUC